RNAcentral lists this ribosomal RNA (253 nucleotides) under uncultured bacterium. RNAcentral's name for it is "partial 16S ribosomal RNA". It matches the Rfam family "Bacterial small subunit ribosomal RNA", at positions 524 to 776 of the family's 1533-position model. The record is from RNAcentral.
UACGUAGGGUGCGAGCGUUAAUCGGAAUUACUGGGCGUAAAGCGUGCGCAGGCGGUUUUGUAAGCCAGAUGUGAAAGCCCCGGGCUUAACCUGGGAAUGGCAUUUGGGACUGCAAGGCUUGAGUGCGGCAGAGGAGACUGGAAUUCCUGGUGUAGCAGUGAAAUGCGUAGAUAUCAGGAGGAAUACCGAUGGCGAAGGCAGGUCUCUGGGCUGACACUGACGCUCAUGCACGAAAGCGUGGGGAGCGAACAGG